GUGCAGUGGCGGCUCUUACCAUGCAGUCGAGCGGUAAGGCCUCUUCGGGGGUACACGAGCGGCGAACGGGUGAGUAACACGUGAGUAAUCUGCCCCCCUCUCUGGGAUAAGCCUGGGAAACUGGGUCUAAUACCGGAUAUGACCAGCUGUCGCAUGGUGGUUGGUGGAAAAUUUUUUUCGGGGGGGAAUUUGCUCCCGGCCUAUCACCUUGUUGGUAAGGUACCGGCUCACCAGGGCUCCAACGGGUACCCGGCCUGAAAGGGUGACCGGCCCCCCGGGAACGGAAACCCGGCCCAAACCCCUACGGAAGGCACCAUUGGGAAAUUUUGAACAUGGGGCGAAACCCUGAUCCACCACCCCCCCGGGAGGAAUAACGGCCUUCGGGUUGUAACCCUCUUUCACCACCAACAAACCGAAAUUAACGGUGGGUGCAAAAAAAGGACCGGCCACCUACUUGCCACCACCCCCGGUAUUACUUAGGGCCCAACCGUUGUCCGGAUUUAUGGGGCGUAAAGGGUUCGAAGGCGGUUUGCCCCGCCGGGAUUGAAAACCAGGUGCUUACCACCGGGCCGGCUUUCAAUCCGGCCAAACAAAAGGCUUUCAGGGAAAAACGAAUUUCCGGGGGUACCGUUAAAUUGCCCAAAUUUCAGGAGGACCACCGGUGGCAAAGGCGGUCCUCUGGAAUUGUCCUGACCCUAAGAACCAAAAUUGUGGGAACCAAACAGGAUUAAAUACCCUGGUAUUCCACACCGUAAACGUUGGGCGCUAGGUGUGGAAUCCAUUCCACGGGUUCCGUGCCGCACCUAACGCAUUAACCGCCCCCCCGGGGAAUACGGCCGCAAGGCUAAAACUCAAAGGAAUUGACGGGGGCCCGCACAAGCGGCGGAGCAUGCGGAUUAAUUCGAUGCAACGCGAAGAACCUUACCUGGGUUUGACAUACACCGGGAGCAUCCAAAAAUGGGUGUGCCUUUUGGCUGGUGUACAGGUGGUGCAUGGCUGUCGUCAGCUCUGUCGUGAAAUGUUGGGUUAAGUCCCGCACGAAGGCAACCCUCGUCCUAUGUUGCCACCAAUUCGGUUGGGGACCCCUAAGGAAAAUGCCGGGGUCAAUCCGAAGAAAGGUGGGGGAGAACUCCAAGUCUUCUUGGCCCCU
Molecule: ribosomal RNA, 1150 nt
Filed under: Nocardioides sp.
Lineage: Bacteria; Bacillati; Actinomycetota; Actinomycetes; Propionibacteriales; Nocardioidaceae
Description: partial 16S ribosomal RNA
Rfam family: Bacterial small subunit ribosomal RNA
Source: RNAcentral